GGAAACGGGCACUAAUACCGCAUACGUCCUGAGGGAGAAAGUGGGGGAUCUUCGGACCUCACGCUAUCAGAUGAGCCUAGGUCGGAUUAGCUAGUUGGUGGGGUAAAGGCCUACCAAGGCGACGAUCCGUAACUGGUCUGAGAGGAUGAUCAGUCACACUGGAACUGAGACACGGUCCAGACUCCUACGGGAGGCAGCAGUGGGGAAUAUUGGACAAUGGGCGAAAGCCUGAUCCAGCCAUGCCGCGUGUGUGAAGAAGGUCUUCGGAUUGUAAAGCACUUUAAGUUGGGAGGAAGGGCAGUAAGUUAAUACCUUGCUGUAUUGACGUUACCAACAGAAUAAGCACCGGCUAACUUCGUGCCAGCAGCCGCGGUAAUACGAAGGGUGCAAGCGUUAAUCGGAAUUACUGGGCGUAAAGCGCGCGUAGGUGGUUCAGCAAGUUGGAUGUGAAAUCCCCGGGCUCAACCUGGGAACUGCAUCCAAAACUACUGAGCUAGAGUACGGUAGAGGGUGGUGGAAUUUCCUGUGUAGCGGUGAAAUGCGUAGAUAUAGGAAGGAACACCAGUGGCGAAGGCGACCACCUGGACUGAUACUGACACUGAGGUGCGAAAGCGUGGGGAGCAAACAGGAUUAGAUAUCCUGGUAGUCCACGCCGUAAACGAUGUCGACUAGCCGUUGGGAUCCUUGAGAUCU
RNAcentral lists this ribosomal RNA (693 nucleotides) under uncultured Pseudomonadaceae bacterium. RNAcentral describes it as "SSU rRNA". It matches the Rfam family "Bacterial small subunit ribosomal RNA", at positions 152 to 840 of the family's 1533-position model. The record is from RNAcentral. Lineage: Bacteria; Pseudomonadati; Pseudomonadota; Gammaproteobacteria; Pseudomonadales; Pseudomonadaceae.